AGUGAACGCUGGCGGUAGGCCUAACACAUGCAAGUCGAACGGCAGCACAGUAAGAGCUUGCUCUUACGGGUGGCGAGUGGCGGACGGGGGAGGAAUACAUCGGAAUCUACUUUUUCGUGGGGGAUAACGUAGGGAAACUUACGCUAAUACCGCAUACGACCUACGGGUGAAAGUAGGGGAUCUUCGGACCUUGCGCGAUUGAAUGAGCCGAUGUCGGAUUAGCUAGUUGGCGGGGUAAAGGCCCACCAAGGCGACGAUCCGUAGCUGGUCUGAGAGGAUGAUCAGCCACACUGGAACUGAGACACGGUCCAGACUCCUACGGGAGGCAGCAGUGGGGAAUAUUGGACAAUGGGCGCAAGCCUGAUCCAGCCAUACCGCGUGUGUGAAGAAGGCCUUCGGGUUGUAAAGCCCUUUUGUUGGGAAAGAAAAGCAGCAGGUUAAUACCCCGCUGUUCUGACGGUACCCAAAGAAUAAGCACCGGCUAACUUCGUG
Molecule: ribosomal RNA, 492 nt
Filed under: uncultured bacterium
Lineage: Bacteria
Description: partial 16S ribosomal RNA
Rfam family: Bacterial small subunit ribosomal RNA
Source: RNAcentral